GUCCUAAAUGACUCUCGGCAACGGAUAUCUCGGCUCUCGCAUCGAUGAAAAACGUAGCGAAAUGCGAUACUUGGUGUGAAUUGCAGAAUCCCGUGAACCAUCGAGUCUUUGAACGCAAGUUGCGCCCGAAGCCAUCAGGCCGAGGGCACGCCUGCCUGGGUGUCACCGA
This 169-nucleotide ribosomal RNA is filed under the name Aeschynomene unijuga. Its description in RNAcentral is "5.8S ribosomal RNA". It matches the Rfam family "5.8S ribosomal RNA". From Rfam's summary of the family: 5.8S ribosomal RNA (5.8S rRNA) is a component of the large subunit of the eukaryotic ribosome. It is transcribed by RNA polymerase I as part of the 45S precursor that also contains 18S and 28S rRNA. The record is from RNAcentral. Lineage: Eukaryota; Viridiplantae; Streptophyta; Magnoliopsida; Fabales; Fabaceae.